UCCUGUUCAACGAUCAGGUUCUUCAGCGGUAUCUCCUCAAUCGUCCAGUGCUGAUAAAAGCUCUUCAUGGAAUGGUUCAUUAAGCUUGGCAGAGUACAAGAUCUAUAAGAAUGAAGGUCUCGCCGAUGCUUCAACUCAGACUGAUGAAAAUGGAAGCAAAUCUACACCGCCAGAGACUUGCACGAGAGGUGUUUCAACAGAUGAUGGGUCUAUAGAGCUUGGAAAUAAUGAAAUUCAAGAGGUUCAGGUUCAACCAACAAAUGAAUCUGCGCAGAUUUGCCGGGAGACAGUAUCGCCUGCUCCGUCUUCGUCAAGUGCAUCGUCAUCAGGUGGUAGAACAGAUACCUUAG
RNAcentral lists this unclassified non-coding RNA (350 nucleotides) under Hevea brasiliensis (rubber tree). The record is from RNAcentral. Lineage: Eukaryota; Viridiplantae; Streptophyta; Magnoliopsida; Malpighiales; Euphorbiaceae.